AUGGAUUUGGUGUUCAUUUGGGUUUUCCUUGUUGCUUGUUUAAAAGGUGUCCAGUCUGAGGUGAAGCUUGUGGAGUCUGGAGGAGGCCUGGUGAAGCCUGGAGGAUCUCUGAGACUAUCCUGUGUAGCCUCUGGAUUCACUUUCAGUGACUUCUGGAUGUACUGGUAUCGCCAAGUUCCAGGGAAGGGACUGGAGUGGGUUGGAGGUAUUAGUACAGACAGCAGUACUAUAAGAUAUGCACCAUCCGUGAAGGAUCGAUUCACCAUCUCCAGAGACAAUGCCAAGAACACUCUGUACCUGCAAAUGAACAGUGUGAGAUCUGAGGACACAGCCACUUAUUACUGUGCUAAUGACACAGUGAUGGAACUUCAGUGUUCAGACAUAAACCUCACUGUUAGGCCACUCAGGGCCACCAGGGGGUGCAAAAGACACAGAAUACAGGUUCAUCCCAGUAAUUUAUGCAGACAUGAUUAG
This is a non-coding RNA of Alexandromys fortis (reed vole), 474 nucleotides long. The record is from the annotation of a RefSeq genome assembly. NCBI's taxonomy places the organism in Eukaryota, Metazoa, Chordata, Mammalia, Rodentia, Cricetidae.